RNAcentral lists this ribosomal RNA (232 nucleotides) under uncultured bacterium. RNAcentral describes it as "partial 16S ribosomal RNA". It matches the Rfam family "Bacterial small subunit ribosomal RNA", at positions 355 to 575 of the family's 1533-position model. The record is from RNAcentral.
UAGGGAAUCUUCGGCAAUGGGGGGCAACCCUGACCGAGCAACGCCGCGUGAGUGAAGAAGGUUUUCGGAUCGUAAAGCUCUGUUGUAAGUCAAGAACGGGUGUGAGAGUGGAAAGUUCACACUGUGACGGUAGCUUACCAGAAAGGGACGGCUAACUACGUGCCAGCAGCCGCGGUAAUACGUAGGUCCCCGAGCGUUGUCCGGAUUUAUUGGGGCGUAAAGCGAGCGCAGG